AAACUGUUUGUUUAAAACUUAUACAGUGUAUAUGUAUAUAAAGUCUUUUGUCUGGCCAAAAAAAUUUCCCUGGAACCUAAACCCACCCUAUUUACAUUAAUUCUUAUGCGGAUAUUGGAUUAGCUUAACAUAGUUUCGCUUAAAAGAGCAUUUUUCUGGAACAGAACUACAACGUUAAGUGAGG
Dermochelys coriacea (leatherback sea turtle) is the source of this 184-nucleotide long non-coding RNA. RefSeq lists it as uncharacterized. The record is from RefSeq and is a predicted model, not a curated record. NCBI's taxonomy places the organism in Eukaryota, Metazoa, Chordata, Testudines, Dermochelyidae. The transcript has 3 exons.